Molecule: ribosomal RNA, 468 nt
Filed under: uncultured bacterium
Lineage: Bacteria
Description: partial 16S ribosomal RNA
Rfam family: Bacterial small subunit ribosomal RNA
Source: RNAcentral
GACGAACGCUGGCGGCGUGCUUAACACAUGCAAGUCGAACGGAAAGGCCCUGCUUUUGUGGGGUGCUCGAGUGGCGAACGGGUGAGUAACACGUGAGUAACCUGCCCUUGACUUUGGGAUAACUUCAGGAAACUGGGGCUAAUACCGGAUAGGAGCUCCUGCUGCAUGGUGGGGGUUGGAAAGUUUCGGCGGUUGGGGAUGGACUCGCGGCUUAUCAGCUUGUUGGUGGGGUAGGGGCUUACCAAGGCUUUGACGGGUAGCCGGCCUGAGAGGGUGACCGGCGACAUGGGGACGGAGAGACGGCCCAGACGCCGACGGGAGGCAGGAGUGGGGAAGAGUGCAGAAGGGGCGGAAGACGGAGGCAGCGACGCCGGGUGGGGGAUGACGGCCGUCGGGUGGUAAACGCCUGGCACCAGCGAAGAAGGGGUUAUGACGGUAGAUGGAGAAGAAGCACCGGAUAACUACGUG